This is a long non-coding RNA of Armigeres subalbatus, 778 nucleotides long. RefSeq lists it as uncharacterized. The record is from RefSeq and is a predicted model, not a curated record. The transcript is spliced from 2 exons. Lineage: Eukaryota; Metazoa; Arthropoda; Insecta; Diptera; Culicidae.
AGUAGCCCAGCAAGGAAGGUUACUCUAACUUGAGCAUAAUGUGCAUCUAACCUGUGAGAUAGUUACACUAACAUUCUCACUAACGGUUAGGGUAAAGUGAGGCUAAAGUUACGCUAGAAUGACACACUUUUGUUAGGUAUGUUUAUGCGUGGUGCAUAAUUCCAUCUAACCUGUUACACUCACGUUACAUCAACGUUAGAUAUGUUUCGCUUUGGGCGGUUAGGCAGCGGUUAGGGUUGUUUCAAAAGGGUUUUCAUGUUGAUUUAUUUACACCCAGCUGUCAUCGGAGGCAGAAUAUAUAUGUACUAGUGAAUGUACAUAUACAUAACUGCCUCGAAUGGCAGUUGGAUGUAAAUAAAUUAUUAAUCAAAAUCUUCGGGAACAUUUCCCACAUAUUUUAAUUGAUUGAUUAACAUCCAACAAAAUAAAUACAAUAUAUUAUAUUAAGACUCCAUCUGCCGUUCUUUCCAUCCCAAUGCGGCUAUUUUCUUUCGCGCCGGAACAGUCUGUUCAUCGCAUGUCCACUUCCGAAGGAAACUAUCAACAGAGCGGCGAUCAAUGCGGCUCUUCGAGUGGUAAUGAAGAGCAGGAAUAGGGCUAGGGCAUGCAGUGAAGUAUUUCGGUCAUCGUCCGGAGCUCAGAAGAUUGACGUUUGGAAAUAUGCCCUCAUGAUCCGGAAUCGGCCUAUCUUUGUCUGGCCUCUUGCAAGGCAGUACGAAUGACUAAUGUAGCAAUGCAAAUCAAAUAAAACUAACCAAAUAUCUCAAAUUAAAGGAAA